CUGCUGUUUCCUUAUUUUUUGCAGGAAAGCAAAGGGUUGUUGACUUCCUCUCCCCUCCCUUCCUUCCUUCUUUCUGAAGGUACUGUACUCAUCUGAAAAAAAAAAAAAACACAAACCCAGAACGAAAUGAUUGUUCCUGUUCUCCUUCUUAAGUCAUUUGAAACAUUGUCCCUGCUAGUUUUCUAAGUUUACUGCAAUCUCUGCACAGGGGGGAGGGAGACAGUGGGAGACAGAAACAGAUAUUACAAACAUGAGAGCAGGUAGUGUUUAGGGCAAGACUCCUUCCAGCUUCAACAACUGGUGCAUGCGAUGCCCAUAAGGUGCCAUUAACUGCUGAUGGAGGAGCCAGCUGGCUGGCUUAAAGAACCAAGCUGAACAAGCUGAAGGUGGCCCUUAGCUACUCUUUAAGACAACAGAGAGAUGGGAGGAGAAUAGACCAUCUCUCUGGCCUCCAUGUAGAUGAUACGGACACUGGGAUUACAGUAGGAAGAAAAGCUCAAUGUAUUUCCUUUUUAAAGGAUCGGUCCUGUGAUGCCUGUAGCUGUGGCCAGUGGAAUAAGCCCACAGGCUCAGUGAAAGCAGCCAAAGGUUAGUAGUGCAAGGAAAAUGUUUAUUUCUAGUAAUUUCAAGCAGUUCUACAGGUCUGUGCUCCAGA
Molecule: long non-coding RNA, 655 nt
Filed under: Parus major (Great Tit)
Lineage: Eukaryota; Metazoa; Chordata; Aves; Passeriformes; Paridae
Description: lncRNA (ENSPMJG00000016181.1)
Source: RNAcentral